ACAGAGAGCUUGCUCUCGGGUGACGAGCGGCGGACGGGUGAGUAAUGUCUGGGAAACUGCCUGAUGGAGGGGGAUAACUACUGGAAACGGUAGCUAAUACCGCAUAAUGUCGCAAGACCAAAGUGGGGGACCUUCGGGCCUCAUGCCAUCAGAUGUGCCCAGAUGGGAUUAGCUAGUAGGUGGGGUAACGGCUCACCUAGGCGACGAUCCCUAGCUGGUCUGAGAGGAUGACCAGCCACACUGGAACUGAGACACGGUCCAGACUCCUACGGGAGGCAGCAGUGGGGAAUAUUGCACAAUGGGCGCAAGCCUGAUGCAGCCAUGCCGCGUGUGUGAAGAAGGCCUUCGGGUUGUAAAGCACUUUCAGCGGGGAGGAAGGCGGUGAGGUUAAUAACCUCAUCGAUUGACGUUACCCGCAGAAGAAGCACCGGCUAACUCCGUGCCAGCAGCCGCGGUAAUACGGAGGGUGCAAGCGUUAAUCGGAAUUACUGGGCGUAAAGCGCACGCAGGCGGUCUGUCAAGUCGGAUGUGAAAUCCCCGGGCUCAACCUGGGAACUGCAUUCGAAACUGGCAGGCUAGAGUCUUGUAGAGGGGGGUAGAAUUCCAGGUGUAGCGGUGAAAUGCGUAGAGAUCUGGAGGAAUACCGGUGGCGAAGGCGGCCCCCUGGACAAAGACUGACGCUCAGGUGCGAAAGCGUGGGGAGCAAACAGGAUUAGAUANCCUGGUAGUCCACGCCGUAAACGAUGUCGAUUUGGAGGUUGU
RNAcentral lists this ribosomal RNA (762 nucleotides) under uncultured Enterobacteriaceae bacterium. RNAcentral describes it as "SSU rRNA". It matches the Rfam family "Bacterial small subunit ribosomal RNA", at positions 71 to 827 of the family's 1533-position model. The record is from RNAcentral. Lineage: Bacteria; Pseudomonadati; Pseudomonadota; Gammaproteobacteria; Enterobacterales; Enterobacteriaceae.